AACGAACGCUGGCGGCAUGCCUAACACAUGCAAGUCGAACGAGACCUUCGGGUCUAGUGGCGCACGGGUGCGUAACGCGUGGGAACCUGCCCUUAGGUUCGGAAUAACUCUCCGAAAGGGGUGCUAAUACCGGAUAAUGUCUUCGGACCAAAGAUUUAUCGCCUUUGGAUGGGCCCGCGUUGGAUUAGCUAGUUGGUAGGGUAAAAGCCUACCAAGGCGACAAUCCAUAGCUGGUCUGAGAGGAUGAUCAGCCACACUGGGACUGAGACACGGCCCAGAAUCCUACGGGAGGCAGCAGUGGGGAAUAUAGGACAAUGGGCGAAGGCCUGAUCCAGCAAUGCCGCGUGAGUGAUGAAGGCCGUAGGGUUGUAAAGCGCUUUUACCCGGGAUGAUAAUGACAGUACCGGGAGAAUAAGCUCCGGCUAACUCCGUG
RNAcentral lists this ribosomal RNA (433 nucleotides) under uncultured bacterium. Its description in RNAcentral is "partial 16S ribosomal RNA". It matches the Rfam family "Bacterial small subunit ribosomal RNA", at positions 29 to 507 of the family's 1533-position model. The record is from RNAcentral.